This is a long non-coding RNA of Micropterus dolomieu (smallmouth bass), 515 nucleotides long. RefSeq lists it as uncharacterized. The record is from RefSeq and is a predicted model, not a curated record. The transcript is spliced from 3 exons. NCBI's taxonomy places the organism in Eukaryota, Metazoa, Chordata, Actinopteri, Centrarchiformes, Centrarchidae.
CAGCUACCACGCCCCCUGCACAGAGAGAACACACCUCCCAAGCAGCCAUACAGCCCAAGCCGUAACAGUAGUGGCUUUGAAGAGGACAUAAAUUUAGUUCCCAGCUUGGAAAGUGCUGCCGGAAAAGUAAGAACCAUCCCGUCACAUGUUCACACUCCACCCCACAGGCUGUUGCUCCCCUGUCCCAGCCCCGCUCCACCUCCCCUCCUCACACCUCUUCUGGGCCAGAGAUCCGGCUCCAGCUCCUCGACAGCCCUCUCUGCACUGCGACACUUCGUUCCCGUCCGUUGCCUGCUGCCCGCCUGCUAAUCUGGAUUGGUGGGGAGGAACAGAUCGCUGUGAGACAUGGCCGUCCUCUGGAGCCCACAGAACCAGGCCAAGAUGCGAGUGAGCAGUUCUCCAUGUCCAGAGAGGUGCCCCUUGUAAUGUUAUAGGCUUGUAUGCCAUGCAGGCACACGUAGAUCAUAGGUGUGAUGUAAUGUAAAGUAGUGUUCAUUGGGACAGUUAAAGUGGAA